RNAcentral lists this ribosomal RNA (253 nucleotides) under uncultured bacterium. RNAcentral describes it as "partial 16S ribosomal RNA". It matches the Rfam family "Bacterial small subunit ribosomal RNA", at positions 524 to 776 of the family's 1533-position model. The record is from RNAcentral.
UACGGAGGGUGCAAACGUUGCUCAGAAUCAUUGGGCGUAAAGCGCACGUAGGCGGCGCGUUAAGUCGGGUGUGAAAGCCCUGGGCUCAACCCAGGAAGUGCAUUCGAAACUGGCGCGCUUGAAUAUGGAAGAGGGUCGCGGAAUUCCCGGUGUAGAGGUGAAAUUCGUAGAUAUCGGGAGGAACACCAGUGGCGAAGGCGGCGACCUGGGCCAAUAUUGACGCUGAGGUGCGAAAGCGUGGGGAGCAAACAGG